CCUACGGGAGGCAGCAGUGGGGAAUUUUUCGCAAUGGGGGCAACCCUGACGAAGCAAUGCCGCGUGGAUGAAGAAGGCCUUCGGGUUGUAAAGUCCUUUCGUGGGGGACGAAAAGGCGGAUCCGAAUACGGUCCGCUAUUGACGUGAACCCAAGAAGAAGCACCGGCUAACUCCGUGCCAGCAGCCACGGUAAUACGGAGGGUGCGAGCGUUAAUCGGAAUUACUGGGCGUAAAGGGCGCGUAGGCGGUGGGUUACGUCUGCCGUGAAAUCCCCGGGCUCAACCUGGGAAUGGCGGUGGAAACGGGCUGACUGGAGUAUGGGAGAGGGUGAUGGAAUUCCAGGUGUAGCGGUGAAAUGCGUAGAGAUCUGGAGGAACACCAGUGGCGAAGGCGGUCACCUGGCCCAAUACUGACGCUGAGGCGCGAAAGCGUGGGGAGCAAACAGGAUUAGAUACCCUGGUAGUCCACGCCCUAAACGAUGGAUACUGGAUGUUUGGCGCCUUAGGUGCUGAGUGUCGUAGCUAACGCGAUAAGUAUCCCGCCUGGGAAGUACGGCCGCAAGGUUAAAACUCAAAGGAAUUGACGGGG
This 588-nucleotide ribosomal RNA is filed under the name uncultured bacterium. RNAcentral describes it as "bacterial SSU rRNA". It matches the Rfam family "Bacterial small subunit ribosomal RNA", at positions 338 to 918 of the family's 1533-position model. The record is from RNAcentral.